AUUUUUCUAAACAAAGAUUAAAUAUGUGACAAGAAGACUGAAGUGCCGAAACAAGACCUCGAAGUGUAGUCUACACAAAUGACUCUCAAACACCGAUCCACUCUCUGGUCUUAGGUUUGGCAACAUUUUUAUAGCCUAUGGGAAAAUAAGAGUAAUAAGAGUAAUCUGGUGAGUUUAUCAUUAGGUUAAAUUGGCUCAAUUUAAAGAGCUGUCCAUUCUGAAAUUGUGUCCUUGCCCUUUUACGGGGUCACUAAAUGUUCCUUCUUACAAAAAACGUUGGUGAUAGUAAAUGGCAACUUUUUUGUUUUGCUCUGUUUUAAUGUUCUUAAGCAGGAAAAAAGAGUUCUAUGUUUGAUCUCUUUUUUAUUUUUUAUUUUCUGCUUCCUGGAAUCCAGAAAUCUGAGAACCAUAGGCAACUCUAACCUCUGCAUAUAUUUGGUACAUAUUUUGUAUACAUGUCUAUUCAUCAAUUCAGACUUUACAAACAGAAGGCCGAGUUACUUCAAUGGACUUUUGCUCAGUGGCAGAAAUCUACAGAUCCAUGUUUUAACACGUCUAAGGCAGCCUUGGGAUGAAACUGGAUUUGGCUGUGUUAUGUUCUUUUUGAAAUACAUGGCUGGAUGUGCUCUACCAAUUAUUUAUGACAUUCAUUUCUAUGAGAAAUUGGCCUAAAAUCAUCCAGUCUCACAUUAUUCAUCUAGUUUUGGUGUAAAGGUUAUACUGACAUAAAAGUUUUGCAUCUUAUCUCAGCUGCUCCUAAGUUAUUUACUCUUUCAGGGUUUGGUAAACUCACUUGUAAAAUGGUAUGGAAAUGCAUUUAUUUUGUUGGUAUAUCUUGACUACUGGUUUAUAUUUAUAACAGCUAUUGUUUAAUUGACAAAUCAGCAAACUGGGG
This 895-nucleotide long non-coding RNA is filed under the name Vulpes vulpes (red fox). Its description in RNAcentral is "lncRNA (ENSVVUG00000021799.1)". Lineage: Eukaryota; Metazoa; Chordata; Mammalia; Carnivora; Canidae. The record is from RNAcentral.